AGAAUCAACGCUGGCGGCGUGCCUAACACAUGCAAGUCGCACGAGAAAGGGACUUCGGUCCUGAGUACAGUGGCGCACGGGUGAGUAACACGUGAAUAAUCUACCUCCGAGUGGGGAAUAACUGAGAGAAAUCUUAGCUAAUACCGCAUAACACUUACGAGUCAAAGCGGCAAUGCGCUUGGAGAGGAGUUCGCGGCAGAUUAGUUAGUUGGCGGGUAAUGGCCCACCAAGACGAUGAUCUGUA
This 244-nucleotide ribosomal RNA is filed under the name uncultured bacterium. Its description in RNAcentral is "partial small subunit ribosomal RNA". It matches the Rfam family "Bacterial small subunit ribosomal RNA", at positions 26 to 285 of the family's 1533-position model. The record is from RNAcentral.